RNAcentral lists this ribosomal RNA (492 nucleotides) under uncultured bacterium. Its description in RNAcentral is "partial 16S ribosomal RNA". It matches the Rfam family "Bacterial small subunit ribosomal RNA", at positions 29 to 507 of the family's 1533-position model. The record is from RNAcentral.
AGUGAACGCUGGCGGUAGGCCUAACACAUGCAAGUCGAACGGCAGCACAGUAAGAGCUUGCUCUUACGGGUGGCGAGUGGCGGACGGGUGAGGAAUACAUCGGAAUCUACUUUUUCGUGGGGGAUAACGUAGGGAAACUUACGCUAAUACCGCAUACGACCUACGGGUGAAAGCAGGGGAUCUUCGGACCUUGCGCGAUUGAAUGAGCCGAUGUCGGAUUAGCUAGUUGGGGGGGUAAAGGCCCACCAAGGCGACGAUCCGUAGCUGGUCUGGGAGGAUGAUCAGCCACACUGGAACUGAGACACGGUCCAGACUCCUACGGGAGGCAGCAGUGGGGAAUAUUGGACAAUGGGCGCAAGCCUGAUCCAGCCAUACCGCGUGGGUGAAGAAGGCCUUCGGGUUGUAAAGCCCUUUUGUUGGGAAAGAAAAGCAGCAGGUUAAUACCCCGCUGUUCUGACGGUACCCAAAGAAUAAGCACCGGCUAACUUCGUG